UUGUAAAUUAUUUACAAAAUAAUUGUAAAUUAUAUGAUUAAAUAAUCAUAUAAUUGAAAUUAGAAGUGUGCACAUACUUUACUAUUAUAUACAGAAUGAGCAAAUACUGUUUACUAAUAUCUUCUGCACGUUUUAACAAUAUAUUCUGCACGUUUUACUUACGACGAAACAACGAAAGCGAAUGGUUUGUUGAAAUAAACGAAGCCUUGUUAUAAUAUGUCGCUAUUAACUAUUACCAAGGCGCCACCUGUGACCACCAAUAAGAUAAACGGUCCAUUGGGGAAGAAUGUUGUCUUGCGUCAUCAAUUUACUAUUAUUGCGCCAUUAUAUGCUUUGAAUAAUAAAAAUACUCCCGUGGCGCCCUCUGCGAAACGUGUGAUUUCGGCGUGGCAGUCAAAGUGUUAGGGUAACCUGAUUAUCCCGAUAUUUAGUCGAAAGUUUCGCCUCAACCAUCGAAAGUAUCUCGCAAGUUUUUCAUUUCGAUUAAUCUAGCAGAAAGAUUGCUCGCCCUCUGAGGAGACACGAUGCCACCUUACGGACAAGGAGGAUCGAAUGGAACGUCAGGCACUCGAUACUCGGCGCAUUAAUCUGCCAUACCAUCGAACAAUUCGAAAGUUAGAAAAUAUUCGCGCACGCCACGUGAAACUUGGCCGCCGGGUAAUAAGAGAGACGCGCCAGGAGCCACGAGCUUCGCAGCAACAUCGACGUUCUUACGCAGAACCGCAGCGCACGUUGCAUCCGGCCAUGCGAGCCUCGCUCUAUCUGUCACCUGUUAUAAUUUUGCAAUACGUCGAACACGGUCGAUGCCACACGAUUCUGCCCGUGUUUUUACUUUAAAAACGCGUACAUCGAAUUUACAGUGGAAUUUAUCGUCUGUUAUUUGUAUAAACAUCACAUAGAAUAUCAAGGCUCGUUGAAACACGUUCAAUAGAUUUAAAAUAGAUUCAAAUUUCUAGAUUAUCUGGUCAAGUACACUGCACCUGGUAGCUGUCGAGAUUUCCAUCUUUUGAAACGAGGAUAUUUGGUAAUCGUUUAGGCGAAAACUAUUUUCCGGGCAAUUUCGGAAAUUGUUUGAAAUGGACAAAAAAGAAUGAAAUUUUUGGAAGCUUGUAAAGAACAUAAUAAACGACAAAAUCGUUUUACUAAA
Bombus huntii is the source of this 1147-nucleotide long non-coding RNA. RefSeq lists it as uncharacterized. The record is from RefSeq and is a predicted model, not a curated record. Lineage: Eukaryota; Metazoa; Arthropoda; Insecta; Hymenoptera; Apidae. The transcript has 2 exons.